GGGGAUUUAGCUCAGUGGUAGAGCACUUGCCUAGCAAGCACAAGGCCCUGGGUUCGGUCCCCAGCCCCG
Non-coding RNA from Rattus norvegicus (Norway rat), 69 nucleotides. The record is from Rfam. NCBI's taxonomy places the organism in Eukaryota, Metazoa, Chordata, Mammalia, Rodentia, Muridae.